GCUCCUCCAAUCCUUGAGAAAUGCCGAAGCAGAUCCACGAGAUCAAGGAUUUCCUUCUCCUCUAUUUAUAACUUCUCUUUCCAAAGCAGAAGCAGAAUCAGAAGCAGCAGCAACAGCCGAUUUUGAUGGGUUCUCUGCUCGGCAACUGGCCUUCCUUCGAUCCCCAUAAUUUCACUCAAUUACGGCCAUCGGAUCCUGCUCAUCCUUCCAAAAUAACACCUGCCACCUAUCAUCCUACGCAUAAUCGGACUGUUCCACCACCUAAUCAAGUAAUUUCGACAGAGGCAACAAAUAUUCUCUUGAGACAGUUCUAUCAACGGGCCAAAGAGAAGUUAAGACCAAAGAGAGCUGCCUCGGAGCUUUUGAUACCACAGGCAGUCUUGAAUCUGCUCUCCAGGUUUGGCUGGUUUUUUAUUUCGGUGAUUUGGGAGCUGGGAAGUCGAAUCUGCUCUCGAGGUUCACCAAGAACAAGUUUAGUCUCAAAUUGAAGUCAACAAUCGGAGUCGAGUUCGCAUGGCAUAGCUUGAACGUCAAUGGGAAGCUCAUCAAAGCUCAGAUUUGGUAUACGGCAUAGCAAGAGAGGUUGCCUUUAGAGAUAUCUCUGAUCUAAUUCUUGUUUGAUUGGCAUAAAUGGAUCCAAUGGGUGAAGAACAAUUAGAUUAUGAGGAUGAUGAAUACGGGGGAAGUCAGAAACUGCAGUUUCAAGGCAUCGGAGCGAUCUCUGCACUUGCCUAUGAGGAGCUAAUGGGGGAAGACGAUGAGUAUGAUGAUCUUUACAAUGAUGUGAAAGUCGGUGAGGGUUUCAUGCAGUCGAUGCAACGGAACGAGAUGCCAGUUUCAUUAGGUGGUGUGGGCCCUGGGUUGAGGGUUUAGAGCCUGUUGUUUCACAAGAGGUGAGUAUCCCUGGUGUUGGGGUGGGAGGGAAGGAGUCGAAUGUUGGUGCUGCUGGUUUCUCCGAUGUGCAGAAAAAGACAACGUCUUUGUCUGGCAAAGGUUUGGAAGAUAGAACUAGUGAUUACCCAGCGGGGGUUUCUCAAAAAGAUCAUGUUUUGGAUAUGGCUCCUGAGGCUCAAGUAGGAAAUUCAGAAUUUCAAGGAUCCAUGCCUGUUAUGCCAAAUGUUGGUGCUGAUCCUGGUCAAGUGCCAGGAAGGCUUGUUGGUGGGCCGUCUUCAUUCCCAGAUCAGGCCAGUGGUGGUAGCAGUUCAUGCAACAUUUGGAUUAAACUAAUCUCGAUUUUGAUAGGCCCCAUUCUCCACAUUAGGUUUGCCAUUCUAAAGCGGCACUUUUCCUCUUCUCAAUUGCAAUUGUUGGUGUGUUUAGUUUUUCAAGAACUUCCAAAAUCACAAUAAUGCAGAGCAAAGUGCCAAUUCAGUGCGUCAAAUCUGACAUGGAGAGCAUGUGGCCAACCAAAUUCAGUAUUAGGUUUACAUUUGAUUCAGGGGAUCGUCUGCUAUUUCACAAAGCGUCUUUAGUUUUGUAUUUUCAAUCUCUUCUUUUCUUUCUUUCCCUUUUUUUUUUCCCCUGGAUUCAUCUAUAGGAAAAAUGUAGUUGACUUGACAGGUCACCACCUCUGACCUGCAUAUGAGUAAGACGUACUCUUCAAUCUUUAGGUCCACAUCAUAGCAUACUGAUACGCUUUUAUUUACCUCCUCUUUUCAUGAAUCCUGCUGCUUAUACACAACUACAAUAUAAUCAUUGAAGGUUUUAAAGUAUGUUAACGUAACUUACAAACUUGGAUGCAUCGUGCUCGGAACUUCAAAUGUACAUGGUUUGUGAUCGAAGGGCUAAUCCAAAAGAAGCUUGACUUCAAGGACAUGGUCAAUGGGAUCUGUGAUCACAAAUGGCUUGGCAAAGGCUUCACAUGUCUGCUUCCAAUUUGAUCUUUAAAUUGGUAUUAGAGUUUCAUGUUUAAAAGAAAUGCAUUGGGAUUUUUUUAUAAUCUUUUUUGGUGUAAACUGCUCUGUAUUAGAGUUUCAUGUUUAAAGGAAAUGCAUUUGGGUUGUUUAGUAAAGAUGGUGACAGACAGUCUGUGAUUGGUUUGUUGUGCAAGUAGAAAAUAUGCACUGAAAUCAGGUGGGCCGUAGUCUGGAUGGAUCAUACUGCAACAGAUCUUAACCCAUCACCAUACUCCUGUUCUACCUGCUCUACCGUAUCAUCUCCAUCGCUUGGAAAACCUUCCCAGUAGAACAGAACAGAGCAUCACUCUUAAACAGACCAAUUUCAAGGCCUGCUGGUUUCUAUUUAGAUAUGCCAAGAAUGCUGCUAAUCAGGUUUUGGAGAAAAUAGGAGAGCAAACUUGGAAGAUCUAGGCAUUCUUACAGGAAGAGAGCCAUCAAAACAUAUGGAGAGAUGCCCAGGUCCCUCGGAUGAUGUCAAGAAUGCUCCACACGGCUCCUUUUUGCUUCAUGCCUGUGCACACAAUCCUACCGGUGUUGAUCCUUCAGAGGAACAGUGGAGAGAGAUCUCCUAUCAGCUCAAGGUAAAAAAUCAUUUUCCCUUCUUCGACAUGGCGUACCAAGGUUUUGCAAGUGGUGAUCCUGAGAGAGAUGUGAAGGCAAUUAGAAUUUUUCUUGAAGAUGGGCAUUUUAUUGGAUGUGCUUAAUCAUACGCGAAAAACAUGGGACUAUGGAAAGAGAGUAGGAUGCCUCAGGUAGUUUUUUUUUUUCCCCACAAAUUUCAAGUUUAAAAUGACAGAAUGGUUGAUUGGGACUCUUGGAAGAUCUCUCUACUGUUCUUUAAAGGUUUACUAAGGUCAAUCAGUUUUUAUCUGAUCAUUUAACUUUCCUUUAGAACUAGUGUUUAUCACCUUAUUUAUUGCUAAAAGGGUAAUUUUUUUCUUAACCAAAAAUAAAAUAAAAAAUCCUGAAUUACCCUUCCCCAGGGAAGAGGUUUAUUAAGAUUGAUGAAUAAGCUAUUUCCCAUCUAGUUAUAGAUGUUCUCUGUUAGCACUUCUCUUUUACUUCUAACAUAAUUCCAGAAUGGCAAAGGGCUUUAUUUUAUUUUAUUUUUAUUUUAUUUAGUUUUUUGUUGUCGUCGAUGCUACCUUUCUGGUUACAGUGUGCUCUGCGAAGAUGAAAAGCAAGCAGUAGCUGUGAAGAGUCAGUUGCAACAAAUUGCUACACCCAUGUACAGAAACCCACCAGUUCAUGGUGCGCUUAUUGUUUCAACCAUCCUCAGUGAUCCUGAUUUGAAGAAUUUGUGGCUGAAGGAGGUGAGGGACGAGAAUGAUACUAAUUACGAAGAAGUGGGAGGUUGCUGAUGAGUUUGACAGCGACUUUGAUGAAGAUGUGAGUCUGGCUGGGAAUGCUGCUAGAGA
Magnolia sinica is the source of this 3316-nucleotide long non-coding RNA. RefSeq lists it as uncharacterized. Lineage: Eukaryota; Viridiplantae; Streptophyta; Magnoliopsida; Magnoliales; Magnoliaceae. The transcript has 9 exons. The record is from RefSeq and is a predicted model, not a curated record.